RNAcentral lists this ribosomal RNA (776 nucleotides) under uncultured Neocallimastigales. RNAcentral's name for it is "partial large subunit ribosomal RNA". It matches the Rfam family "Eukaryotic large subunit ribosomal RNA", at positions 24 to 640 of the family's 3401-position model. Lineage: Eukaryota; Fungi; Neocallimastigomycota; Neocallimastigomycetes; Neocallimastigales. The record is from RNAcentral.
UAUCUCUGUAGAGUCUGCAUAUCAAUAAGCGGAGGAAAAGAAACUAACUAGGAUUCCCUUAGUAACGGCGAGUGAAGCGGGAAGAGCUCAAAUUUGAAAUCUUCAAGGUUCUACCUUGACGAAUUGUAGUUUAAAGAAGUGUUUUCUGUUGGAUGUUUUGGUAAAAGUUCUUUGGAAUAGGACAUCAUAGAGGGUGAGAAUCCCGUAUUUGACCAUUACUUUCCAGCUUUGUGAUACACUUUCAAAGAGUCGGAUUGUUUGGGAAUGCAGUCCAAAAUGGGUGGUAAAUUUCAUCUAAAGCUAAAUAUUGGCGAGAGACCGAUAGCGAACAAGUACCGUGAGGGAAAGAUGAAAAGAACUUUGAAAAGAGAGUUAAACAGUACGUGAAAUUGUCAAAAGGGAAGCGUUUGACACCAGUGUUGUUUUCUCGAAAAUCAAUUAAAAAAAGUUGGAUUUUGUAUUGUUAAGACCUUAUCAGCUUACUGUACUCUUUUCUUGCUUUUUUUAAUGCACUUUUCGUUUAACAAGUCAACAUCAAUUUCUUUUGUUGUAAAAGAGUCAUUGGAAGGUGGUUUUCACUUCGGUGAAAGUGUUUAUAGCCUUUGGCUUCUGCAAUCGGAGAGAUUGAGGUCUGCAGCGUAGAUCCUUCGGGGCUAGAUACGUAGAUGCUAAGUUAUAGUUUUUUAUAGACAACUUGUUGACUAUAAUUAAUCAUGUAGCUUACUCGUUUGCGCUAUUUUACCUACGCUUAGGAUGUUGAUAUGCAUGACUGAUAU